AGCUUUAUAGUCAAUUAUGACAUUAGACUGCAAUUCUAAAGGAGUAUUUUUAAUACUAAGGCUU
This 64-nucleotide transfer RNA is filed under the name Cephenemyia trompe. Its description in RNAcentral is "tRNA-Cys". It matches the Rfam family "tRNA". Rfam says of the family: Transfer RNA (tRNA) molecules are approximately 80 nucleotides in length. Their secondary structure includes four short double-helical elements and three loops (D, anti-codon, and T loops). The record is from RNAcentral. Lineage: Eukaryota; Metazoa; Arthropoda; Insecta; Diptera; Oestridae.